CACGUAGGGUGCGAGCGUUGUCCGGAAUUAUUGGGCGUAAAGAGCUCGUAGGCGGUGUGUCGCGUCGGCCGUGAAAACCUGCAGCUUAACUGUGGGCGUGCGGUCGAUACGGGCAUCACUGGAGUUCGGCAGGGGAGACUGGAAUUCCUGGUGUAGCGGUGAAAUGCGCAGAUAUCAGGAGGAACACCAGUGGCGAAGGCGGCACUCUGGGCCGGAACUGACGCUGAGGAGCGAAAGCGUGGGGAGCGAACAGG
RNAcentral lists this ribosomal RNA (254 nucleotides) under uncultured bacterium. RNAcentral's name for it is "partial 16S ribosomal RNA". It matches the Rfam family "Bacterial small subunit ribosomal RNA", at positions 524 to 776 of the family's 1533-position model. The record is from RNAcentral.